RNAcentral lists this ribosomal RNA (498 nucleotides) under uncultured bacterium. Its description in RNAcentral is "partial 16S ribosomal RNA". It matches the Rfam family "Bacterial small subunit ribosomal RNA", at positions 30 to 523 of the family's 1533-position model. The record is from RNAcentral.
AUUGAACGCUGGCGGCAUGCUUUACACAUGCAAGUCGAACGGUAACAGGCCGCAAGGUGCUGACGAGUGGCGAACGGGUGAGUAAUGCAUCGGAACGUGCCCAGUCGUGGGGGAUAACGCAGCGAAAGCUGCGCUAAUACCGCAUACGAUCUCUGGAUGAAAGCGGGGGACCGAAAGGCCUCGCGCGAUUGGAGCGGCCGAUGUCAGAUUAGGUAGUUGGUGGGGUAAAGGCCCACCAAGCCAACGAUCUGUAGCUGGUCUGAGAGGACGACCAGCCACACUGGGACUGAGACACGGCCCAGACUCCUACGGGAGGCAGCAGUGGGGAAUUUUGGACAAUGGGCGCAAGCCUGAUCCAGCAAUGCCGCGUGCAGGAAGAAGGCCUUCGGGUUGUAAACUGCUUUUGUACGGAACGAAACGGCUCUGGUUAAUACCUGGGGCUAAUGACGGUACUGUAAGAAUAAGCACCGGCUAACUACGUGCCAGCCGCCGCCGUAA